RNAcentral lists this ribosomal RNA (937 nucleotides) under uncultured archaeon 20a-1. RNAcentral's name for it is "bacterial SSU rRNA". It matches the Rfam family "Archaeal small subunit ribosomal RNA", at positions 4 to 921 of the family's 1478-position model. The record is from RNAcentral.
CUGGUUGAUCCUGCCGGAGGGGACCCCUAGCGGGCUCGCACUAAGCCAUGCAAGUCGGCUGGGGGCCAUCCCGCCCCUGGCGGCGCACGGCUCAGUAAUACACGGUCAACCUACCCUGAGGACCGGGAUAACCUCGGGAAACUGAGGCUAAUCCCGGAUAGGGGCCGGGUACUGGAAUGUCCCGGCCUCGAAAGUAGGCGGGGGGAGCCCCGCUGAGGCCUCAGGAUGGGACCGUGGCCUAUCAGGUAGUAGGUGGGGUAACGGCCCACCUAGCCUGAGACGGGUGCGGGCGGUGGGAGCCGGAGCCCGGAGAUGGGCACUGAGACAAGGGCCCAGGCCCUAAGGGGCGCAGCAGGCGGGAAACUUCCGCAAUGCGCGGAGGCGCGACGGAGUGAGCCCGCGUGCCGCCCGCUGAGGGCGACUGUCCCCGGGUGUAAACGGCCCGGGACAGGAAGGGGAGGGCAAGGCUGGUGCCAGCCGCCGCGGUAAAACCAGCUCCUCGAGGGGUCCCCACGCAUACUGGGCCUAAAGCGUCCGUAGCCGGCCCCGCAAGUCCCCGGUUAAAUCCGCCGGAAGACCGGCGGGCCGCCGGGGAUACUGCGGGGCUAGGGAGCGGGAGGGGCCGGGGGUAUUCCGGGGGGAGCGGUAAAAUGCGUAGAUCCCCGGAGGACCACCGGUGGCGAAGGCGCCCGGCUGGAACGCGUCCGACGGUGAGGGACGAAAGCUGGGGGAGCGAACCGGAUUAGAUACCCGGGUAGUCCCAGCCGUAAACGAUGCCGGCUAGGUGCCGGCCGAGGUCUCGGCCUCGGCCGGUGUCGAAGCGAAGGCGUUAAGCCGGCCGCCUGAGGAGUACGGCCGCAAGGCUGAAACUUGAAGGAAUUGACGGGGGGGCACCACAAGGGGUGAAUGCCUGCGGCUUAAUUGGACUCAACGCCGG